GGAGGGAUGGCAGAGCGGUUUAAUGCACCGGUCUUGAAAACCGGAGUGGGCGCAAGUCCACCGUGAGUUCGAAUCUCACUCCCUCCGCCA
This 90-nucleotide transfer RNA is filed under the name Verrucomicrobiota bacterium. RNAcentral describes it as "Verrucomicrobia bacterium (groundwater metagenome) tRNA-Ser". It matches the Rfam family "tRNA". From Rfam's summary of the family: Transfer RNA (tRNA) molecules are approximately 80 nucleotides in length. Lineage: Bacteria; Pseudomonadati; Verrucomicrobiota. The record is from RNAcentral.